UUGAUGCUCGGGCUCCCUGUCCAGCUCCGGUGGCCAAAGCGUGGGCAGAGACACGGUCAUGCCCCAAGGGACAAGGUGAAGUGAUGGUGACGUUUCUCAGCCCACCCGACCAGCUGCAUCCAAACUGCGCACUGAGCUGCGUAACAGGGUGUCCGGGAGCACCGGCCUCGGGAUGCGUCUGGGAAGUCGGGGUGUUUCCUACCGAGGGAGAAGGUCACACCGAGAAGCUGUAAAAUGAGCAUUUAACUGCCUGAGGGUGGAUCUGAGCUCUCCCCGUGCACACCAGCCUUGCUGCCCGUCUUGGUUUUCCAAGCAGGAGCUGCCCAGCACCCACAGGUUAUUCCCCACCCAACUCUCCAGCCUGGCCAGGUCCCGCUGGAUGGCAGCACAGCCUUCUGAGCACGGUCCAAGAAAAUCCCCCCCCUCAAAAAAAAUUGAUCCUAACCAGGAUGUUUCCUGUCAAAGAAGCUGAGGAUGCCGUGAUCACCAUGGCUGCAGUGAUCCCCCAAGCCCAGGGAGCAUCAGAACCCCUCCAUUUCCAGCCAAAAAUGAAGGUUUGUGUUGGGAAAUGGGUGCUCUAAAAUCAUGUCUUUGGGGCUUGCUGCUGCCACCUGUUCAUUUCCAAAAUCCUCCAGAUCAAUGUCCUGGGCCAAGCAACAUCUUCCUUUGGGAGAAACCCUCCCAAGGGGGCAAGGUGAGGGUGCAGAAGGGAGCGGUGGAGGGGACUGAGCCUCACACAGCAGCCCCGGGCAGGACAGAGCUGGGGACAGCCCCAUGUGUCGAACAUUUGGGAGGAUUUCUGUUUGACGCUGUAAGAAUGAAUGGCAGGCGGCGCAGACGGUCAUGGCAGGGAAAACCACAUCGACGUACCUCUCUGGAGAGCUCUGCUCUCAUCGGGAUUUCCCCUGGACCAACAAAAGAAAGCCCACCAGCAGUUUCUGCUGCAGAAAACCUGAAUAUCAUUGGGAAUGUGGCCUUGCAGCAGGGCCGGACACCGCCCCGGGGUUCAGGGGUGCCUGAGCACUGUUGUGCUAAGGGAGAGGGUUUGCCUUGGUGUCCGGCAGCUAAUGGGUUGUCCCAGCAACUCUGGCACCACAACACUGGGCUCAGCCCCACUGGGGUUUCCUCCCCACUGCCAGUGUCCCCGAAUGUCUCCAGCCACAUCAGCAGCAUGUGGGUGUUCACAGCCAUGGGGACACGUGUAGCCUUGAGGGCCAGAGCCACUGGCACCAACUUGCUGCUUUACAGACGAUGCUGAGUCUGACCGAGAUGCGCACGGCUGCUGCCCGCACUAAUGGGGAGACCAUCACCUCAGCCUGAGGUUGUGCGUGUUCACAGAGCCCCGGAGCAAACAAAUCCUGUAAAUGUUUGCCACUCCCUGCUUGGAGCUCAUUGGGAUGAUUUUGGGGGACGCCAGUGGGAAAACAGGUGGGAGGGACACUGUGAUCCUGGUCCUGCCCCGGGAUGAUUUUUUCCUCUCUCUCAAAUCCUCUGACACCCCGAGUUGGUGCAAGGGAUGGAGCCGUGCCUGGCCUUGCAGCUCCUAUACCCUUGGACUUCAGUACGUGGUGCAAAAAUAGCUGUCAAAAAGGGGAGAGAUGACCUUUGCCAUUUGAAUAACUGUUUGCUUUGUCAGCACAAGCACAGCAUGUUUGGGGAUUUUGUGGAAGGUUCCAGCGGCUCUGAGCCAGGACCAGACAGCUUUCACUCUCUCCGCUGGCAGCUGUGAACCGCAGCGGGAAUGUGGCCGCCUAAUCCCGGCUCCGAGAGGCACCCGCCAGAGGAGAUGCCGUCCAGGGAGCGCGGGCUCCUGCCAGAGAUGCUCCUGUUUGG
This 1833-nucleotide long non-coding RNA is filed under the name Columba livia (rock pigeon). Its description in RNAcentral is "partial uncharacterized LOC106145964, transcript variant X1". The record is from RNAcentral. Lineage: Eukaryota; Metazoa; Chordata; Aves; Columbiformes; Columbidae.